UUCCUCUUAAGUUAUUUAUAUAUUUUUUCUAACAGUCUUCGAUCUUUUCUUUAUAAAUUUCAGAAACUUUUAAUAGUCUUAGAACGUUUAUAACACUCUAUGAUGCUUUUUAACAGUUUCCAAAUUCUUGUAACAGUUUUAGAUCUCUUCUGUCUACCAUUUAACAGUUUCAUAACCUUAUUGGCAGUCUUAGAUCCUUUGUAACAGGUUAUGAUCCUUUUUAACAGUUUCCAAUCAUCUUUAACAGUUUCGGAUCCUUUCCUCCCUGCACUGUCUUGACGCUCGGCUCUUCUCGGAGACGGAGGGAAGUGGCGUAGUUUACCUUACCUGUCUGUCGCGCGGUGGUUCGUUGUGUAUAAAACUUGCAGUAUAAAACAUCAAGGGGGCGCAGGUAACCCAGCCACAGGGGGAGCCAGGGGGGGGAGCCUCAGGGGAGUAGAGUCCUGGCGCCAGACUCUCCCUGGGUAAGGUGAAGCGUCGACUUGCUGUGAGGGUGGCGAGGAGGGUGUGUGAGGGCGCCUGUUGUUUGUUUUGGUGUGGUCAGAAGCUUGAGGUCCCGAGACUGACAGACUAAAAGGAAACUAAACUAAACUAAGGAAACGAGGCUCCGAAUACUGACAGGCCGAGGGGAAGCUAAACUAAGCAGAACAAACUGAGCUUCCAAGGUUGACAGACCAAAGGGACACUAACCUUUUUUUUACGGCAAAGGAGACAGCUCAAAGAAAAAAAAACGAAAAAAAGAAAGAAAAAGAAAACAGUAAUUAAAAAAAGCCCACAAACUGAAAACAAACACGUAACAAACACCCCGUUAAAAAAAAGCGGAAGAAGAUUAGUAAAAAAAAAAUGGUACGCAAGUCCUUUCCCUCUUGAAAUAAUUUUAGGUGCAGAAAGGAAGAAGCUGAACAGUAAAAAUGCUACAGUCGUGGAAUUUAGCAGUGAAAGAGCAUGAAAGAACGUUUAGCUCAUCCUUGCAUUUGAGAAUUGGACAGUGACCGGGAUGAAGGAAUGAAGACUCUGGUUCACUUUUGCAUUAGGAAGUUGGACAGGAGAUGGUGUCAACGCAGCAAGCGUGUAAAUGGAUACAGUAGGACUAUUUAACAUUUCUAGAGUGUUAACGUUACCGGAUUUAAGUAAACAAACACCACCUCGAACAAGAUAAACAGGCAUCUCCACACAACGCCUCCACAACACACUUCAAGAGAGAGAGAAAAAAAAAAAGAGUCGACGUUUAAGCUUACUCAGGACGCUCUUAACGCUUCUAAAUGCCACCUACGUCCACCUUUGAAGCAGUGUGUGAGGGAGGGGGCGAGAGGGAGGGAAAGGGAGGAGACAUUACCUAUACAAAGAUCAAGGUGAGAGAGGGGAGGUAAAGGGGGACAGGUAAGGAAGGGAGGAGGGUCUUUGCACUUCAUUAAGCCACUCUUCUCUCUACGCUAGGCAGCACAAGCUUCUAUCAACGUAGCUAUGGCGUGAAAAAUAGAUCGGGGCAGGUGAGAGGACAGGACAGGUGAGGACAGGUAAGGAGGUGCACCGGGCUGUCUGUUUACCUGCCUACGUGAAGCCAAUGGUGCUAACCCCUCGUGGCUGGGCUCCUGUUUGCUUACUUAGACACGGUUUGGGUAUCUUCGGGGGUCUAUUUACAAACACAGAGACCUAUAAACAACACGUCAGCUUUGUAAUAUAUAUAUCUAUGGCUUUGGUAAUCUGUCUGUCUUUAUACAACUAUGUACAGAGCGAGCCUGUGUGUGAGUGAGCAAUAGAACACCGUAGGAGGGCGACGCAACCCCGUUUUCUUCACGUUUUCUUUCGUCUUUUCAGCUCCUACUAAGGGUUUUUUUUUCAUGUGCCUUUUCUACCUCCUCCUUCUCCUGCUCCUUCUCCUUCUCCUCCUGCUCCCGUGUUCUCUCUUCUUCUGUUUCCUCCUCCUUCUCCACCUCCCUGUUUUCUCUCUCUCUUUCCUCGUCUUCCUUCUUCUUCUCUCCUCUUCUUUCUUCUUUUUGAGUCUUCUUUCGGUUGCUUUCUCCUCCUCCACCUCCCUGGUUUCUAAGUUAGUUUGUUCUCUCUUUCCUCCUCUUCCUUCUUCUUUCUUCCUCCUCCUCCCUGGUUUCUUAGUUAGCUUGUUCUCUCUUUCCUCCUCUUCCUUCUUCUUUCUUCCUCCUCCUCCCUGGUUUCUUAGUUAGCUUGUUCUCUCUUUCCUCCUCUUCCUUCUUCUAUCUUCCUCCUCCUCCUUUUUAUUCUCCUCUUUUCCUCCUUAGUUCAUCUCGCCCGCACCUUCUCUCUACAUUAUGCCGUUUUUAUUAUCUUAUGAAACUAGACAAAGAUAGAAAAGGAAAGAAAAAGCAAUUAUUUGUGUACAUGAGCGUCCACACACACCACACACACACACACACACACACACACACACACACACACACACACACGCACACGCA
Eriocheir sinensis (Chinese mitten crab) is the source of this 2429-nucleotide long non-coding RNA. RefSeq lists it as uncharacterized. The transcript has 2 exons. The record is from RefSeq and is a predicted model, not a curated record. NCBI's taxonomy places the organism in Eukaryota, Metazoa, Arthropoda, Malacostraca, Decapoda, Varunidae.